This is a long non-coding RNA of Betta splendens (Siamese fighting fish), 3257 nucleotides long. RefSeq lists it as uncharacterized. NCBI's taxonomy places the organism in Eukaryota, Metazoa, Chordata, Actinopteri, Anabantiformes, Osphronemidae. The transcript has 4 exons. The record is from RefSeq and is a predicted model, not a curated record.
GCAAACCAAAGGGAUCGACCCACAGUCCAGACACCAUUGGAGGAGACUAGUGUCCAGGACAAUGGAUGAUGGACUACUAGAGAGGUAGUCAGAGAGGAAAUAAAGAGUGCAAAGAACACAGAUGGAAGCAGCAGAGCAGGAGGAAAGAUUCAGCAGAGAAAAAGGGCAGGACGGUAGCCGAGUGCUGAUGCAGGGCUUCAGUUAGCUGCUGGCUCCGCUCGAUGAGUCCUUGGCUGCAUCGAGAACCGGCCACCGGUUCACAAGGUGGCGCAUCCACCUGCUCCGACCAGGCCAUGACCACCACAGGUUUCAUAUCCAUACGCUGCAGAAAGGAGAGCCCGAACGCCAGACUCUGAACCAUGUCGCUGUCAAACACUGAACUGUCCACCUGCAAAGGGAGGCACAUCCCAGUUACCCACAUGCAAGGAGGCUGUCAAACAGAGAAAUCACUGCAGACUGUUGGUACACAGACAUCUGCUGCCCAGCUCAGGAGUGAAGUACCUUUUUUUUGAUGAGGUGAUGGUGAGGACAGCCACAGCUUCCAUCUCGUAGAGGACUGCUUCCGCUCAGUCUUUCAAAUAGUAAUGAGAACAAAGAUCCAUACAUCUCCCGGGUCAUCUGUUUACAACUAUACCUGUCCUGCUGCAGGAACAAAUCUCUAACAUAACCAAGUUUACCCCCUACCCAGGACAUGGUCUGUUUACCCUACUUCAUUUCAUCUGCAAGGCCCUGCAAAAGCUUCUAUCCUCAAACCCCCAGACUUCUUAAUUAACUCAGUAACCUAUACAUUGCACACUGGAGUGUGAAGGUAACAGUUCGUUUUAGCUUUGGAGUAGUGGUGCAUUUUUUGGUUGACAAUAAAGUUGGCUUUAACUAUUACAAUUUCACUGAACUCUGUUUCUGAAGGGAAAAUGCUUUUAUUAAGGAAAUCAUUGUAUUGAAAUUACAUGUUUUUCUCUUUCUAAUAUGGUAAGCUAUAAAGGUGAACCGGCCAUAAAUAAAAAGCAUAUAAAUUAUAUAUAAAUUAAAAAAAAAAUUCUCAAUGAGUAUUGCACUCACAACAAACACAUUUUUACUCAAAAGGGUAAAGGAGUUAUUCCACAGGUCUACAUCCAUCAUACAAUGAGUGUUUUAGUGUUUUAUCCAUCAGGAAACUCUGCCUUCAUCUACAACCCAAGCAUGAAGAGAUAGCAAUUCAGAUUCCCUAACCCAGGAAUCCCCAGCACCAGCUCACUAGCCUCUGUAGACUAGAUACCUGUAACAAUUUCAGAUACAGAGACAUAUUACUGUCAGAUUUAUCAAGAAUGAUCAAAAAACAAUGAUAAAAAACAUAAAGCAGUAAAAAUACAUCAGGUCAAUAUAUAAUUUGAACCAAUGCUUUUUGUUCCCAGCUAGGUCAUGCAGUGAUUGCUCUGAAUAUUAAUGCACAUUUUUUAAAUAAAAUUAUGUCAGAGCAGCAGCACAAGUAAGACAAAAACAGUGAAAUGUGUAAAUGUAAAAUGUAUUUAUAUUAUUUCAGCUAUGCUCUCAAACUUAUUUAUUUGUAUAAUGUAAGCUAAAGUAGUGUUUUCUAUUAACAAGAGUUUUCCAGGUAAGUCGUGUUGUGAAUAUUCAAGGCCAUUUAGCAUACGCAUUAGCAACUGCUAGUCGCUUUGCAAAUUACAUAAAUCAAUUAAAUUGAAGUAAAUCCAAUGAGACACAUCUUGCAUCAGCCGAAAUGUGGUGACUUCAACAGCCUCCUCUUCAGCUUCAGGGUCAGUUUCGGGAUCGUAGACGUUUGGGUUUAUGACGCUACCAGAUCAGCUGGCUAAUGUUGUGCAGUCCUGUAGUGGGUCUUCUUCUGUGGAGGAUUACGUUGGAUUGCAUUUUCAAUGUUGCACUACUGCCACCUAUUGUAUCCUAACCAUGCGGUGGCUCGUAUCCAUGAAGCCAAUUUAAAAACAAAAAAGGUAUGCGCUUCCGCACAGAGGUGUGGCGAGCAGCUUCGCUUGCGACACGCCCACAAAACACAGCGUUUGCUGAUGGGGAGUGAAAACCACAUAUUGACAGGGGCAGUGUAGACGAUCUACAGGGUUUUAUGGAAUAAAAAUUUACAGAGACCUUACUGAGACAUUGAAGUCCAAUAUUCUUUAGAAUGAAAAGUAUGAUCAGUCUCCUUUAACGAAAUCCCCUAAGUACACAAGUGUUUCCCUGCUUCUCUGAGAUCAUCUCAGUCCCGUUUUAGAUCCGUCUUCGGGGGUGGAAUCCAGUAACAUGCGGUCAGGAUAGGCAGGGGAGGCGUGGGGCCUUACGUCGCCGGACAAAAUACCAUAAUAUGAAUACAUAACAUAAAAUAAAAAUCAAUAUCUGUCCACUGAUCUGUGUUAUAAAUGUAUUUCCUCUACAUUUUUCAAAAUUUCUUAACAUUUCCACAAGUAAAAUUGCUAAGUGUGCGCAUUUCUGGUACUAAUAUGGGGAGAAACGCGAGAAGAGGCAUCAAUGAGCCGAGCCUCAGCCCAGGGCUCAAGCCUCCAUUCUCGAGUGGUCAUUACAUGGGUUAAUGUUUCACAGCUUUUCACCAACAAAAUGCAGAUAUUUUCUUCACCGUCAUUUCCCACAAGCUCAUUAAUGCGUUUAUCGAUGUGUGUUUAACAUAAUUACUUCCUUGAUCGCGUAAAAACGAGCAAAAAAAAAAAUCGAAAUGAGGCAAGACAGGAAAUAGCCUCUAUGGAAGCCGACAGGUGCUAAGCUGCUACUGUCAGGCGAUUCAGUUCUUUUUUUUUUGUCAGGCUCCUCUUUAUGCCAGUGACGUUGGCAGUGCUCCAGUAAGUUAGCAAACUAACUCAGUUAGCUUCUUUCCCAACUCUCAAGAUGUAGGAGAAUUAUAUAAGUCGUCUUAACACAUUUUCAAAACAAAUGCUCAUAACCGAUGGAAGACCAACGCCGGAGCUUAAAGGUUUGCUUCAAACUACGAGACAGAAGACAACUCGCUCCUUUCAAAUGAACUGGUACACCCAAAAAGACUGGCUGUGCUGCCACAAACCGUCUGUAAUGUUUUCCCUGUUUACUGUUUUCAACCUGUGAUAACGUCUAGACUACAGUAACACGGGAUAUUGUAUAAAAUAUAUAACUAAGACAACAAAUGUUUUUCAGUUUUCUAAAAAAUUACUGAUGACAUCAACUUACAUUUUUGAGUCAAGUAACGUCAAAUUCUUGUGUUGACUAAAAGUGUUGUGUUAAAUAAAUAAGGCAGAAGUCCAGUGUUAACCGAAAGCAAA